AGAGUUUGAUCCUGGCUCAGAAUGAACGUUGGCGGCAUCGAUUAGGCAUGCAAGUCGAGCGGAAAGGCCCCUUCGGGGGUACUCGAGCGGCGAAAGGGUGAGUAAUACGUAGACAACCUGCCCCGAUGACUGGGAUAGCCACUGGAAACGGUGGGUAAUACCGGAUACGACAUAAGAAUCUCCUGUUUUUUAUGUCAAAGGUAGCUUCGGCUGCCGCAUUGGGAGGGGUCUACGCACUAUUAGCUUGUUGGUAAGGUAAUGGCUUACCAAGGCGACGAUCUCUAGCUGGUUUGAGAGGAUGAUCAGCCACACUGGGACUGAGACACGGCCCAGACUCCUACGGGAGGCAGCAGUGGGGAAUAUUGCACAAUGGGCGAAAGCCUGAUGCAGCCAUGCCGCGUGUGUGAAGAAGGCCUUCGGGUUGUAAAGCACUUUCAGUUGUGAGGAAAGGUUGUAGUUUAAUAUGCUGCAACUGUGACGUUAACAACAGAAGAAGCACCGCUAACUU
This 508-nucleotide ribosomal RNA is filed under the name uncultured bacterium. Its description in RNAcentral is "bacterial SSU rRNA". It matches the Rfam family "Bacterial small subunit ribosomal RNA", at positions 8 to 503 of the family's 1533-position model. The record is from RNAcentral.